RNAcentral lists this ribosomal RNA (435 nucleotides) under uncultured bacterium. RNAcentral's name for it is "partial 16S ribosomal RNA". It matches the Rfam family "Bacterial small subunit ribosomal RNA", at positions 28 to 507 of the family's 1533-position model. The record is from RNAcentral.
GAUGAACGCUGGCGGUAUGCUUAACACAUGCAAGUCGAACGGACUCUUCGGAGUUAGUGGCGGACGGGUGAGUAACGCGUGAGAAUCUGGCUUUGGGUUCGGGACAACCACUGGAAACGGUGGCUAAUACCGGAUGUGCCGAGAGGUAAAAGAGAAAUUGCCUGAAGAUGAGCUCGCGUCUGAUUAGCUAGUUGGUGAGGUAAAGGCUCACCAAGGCAGCGAUCAGUAGCUGGUCUGAGAGGAUGACCAGCCACACUGGGACUGAGACACGGCCGAGACGCCUACGGGAGGCAGGAGUGGGGAAUGUUCCGCAAUGGGCGAAAGCCUGACGGAGCAAUACCGCGUGAGGGAAGAAGGCUCUUGGGUUGUAAACCUCUUUUCUUAGGGAAGAACAAAAUGACGGUACCUAAGGAAUAAGCAUCGGCUAACUCCGUG